This is a long non-coding RNA of Gossypium raimondii (Peruvian cotton), 1248 nucleotides long. RefSeq lists it as uncharacterized. The transcript has 2 exons. The record is from RefSeq and is a predicted model, not a curated record. NCBI's taxonomy places the organism in Eukaryota, Viridiplantae, Streptophyta, Magnoliopsida, Malvales, Malvaceae.
GAAUUAGACCUGAUCAUGGGUUGAGCCACCUGGCCCGAAGGCCCACCCGAAAAAUAGGAAGGUUUGGGUAAAAAUAUAGGCCCAAAAAUGAGUUUGAACAAAAAAACGAGACUUGUUUAGAAAACGGGCCGGGCCUUGGAUAAGACUUUUUCGAUCUGAGCUCGGCCCGAAUUAUAUAUUAAAUAUUUUAUUUUAUUUUAUUUUUAAUCAUUUUUAAUUUCGUGCCCUCUUCUCCCUUAUUCUCAAUUCCAGAACCAAAAUCCCUAAGCUCACCACCUCCACCGAUCCAGCAAUGUUGUUCGUCAGCGCCGCUCACCACCUUCAUCUCCACCUCCCACCUGCUUCCUCUGUCACUGGCGCCCACCUGAUUUCCUCAAUCGACUCAGGACUUGAGUUUUUAUGACUAUGGCUAGUUCGAACACUCCUAUACCUAUGGAUGAUGUGUUUAAUGAGUAUGAAAGUGCUCUCAAACGUCAAAAGUCUACCACCUCAAAGGUGUGGGAUGAAAUGACAAAGCUUGAAUGCAAGAACAAAAAUGAAUUAAAGGUAUAAUGUAAUCAUUGUAAGAGUAUCUUCUCUGCUAAAUCUUCUAGUAGAACCUCUCAUUUAAGACGUCAUCUAAGUAACUGUUUGAAAAAAGUUAAUAAGGACAUCACUCAAUACACCAUGGCCACUCAACCAUCAUUAGGAGGUGGUCCAUCUAUAAAAAACUACAAGUUUGAUGCUGAUGAAUGUCGUCGAGCUGUUUCUACUUUUCUUAUGUGUGGCAAGCAUUCAUUUAGGACAGUUGAAGAACCGAGAUUUAGAUACAUGAUGAGAAUUGCUAGUUCUAAUUUUAAGAAUAUAAGUAGAUAUACAGCUGCUAGGGAUGUCCUAAUGUAUUAUGCAAAAGAGAAAGAUCAUGUCAAAGAAGAGUUGGUUAAAGCACCUGGUUUAAUUUGUAUAACUUCUGAUAAUUGGAACUCAGAGCAUACUAAUGAUGAAUAUAUUUGCAUUACUGCUCAUUGGGUUGACAAAGAUUGGAAGCUAUAAAAGGUAAUCAUAAGGUUUAGAGUUUUAUUUCCUCCGUAUGAUGGUUUGAACAUAGUGGAUGAGCUUGUUUUAUGUUUAUCUCAAUAGGGUAUAGAUAAGAAAAUUUUUAGCAUCACUUUGGAUAAUGCUUCUUAUAAUGAUGUUAUGGUUUUUUGUCUUAAAAAUUGUUUUCAUGCGAACCGAGCUAUUUUGUGUGAUGAUGCUUUUUUUCAAGUU